RNAcentral lists this long non-coding RNA (1049 nucleotides) under Sus scrofa (pig). RNAcentral describes it as "lncRNA (ENSSSCG00040069485.1)". Lineage: Eukaryota; Metazoa; Chordata; Mammalia; Artiodactyla; Suidae. The record is from RNAcentral.
CCUUUCGAGAACCGCCGCGUGGCUGGAGUCAUGGCGGCCUCAGCGGUGUCCGAGAAAGGCUGGCAAACUCCUGCCUUUGGCGGCGGCCGUUGUGUGGCAUCUGCGGCAACGGUGAGACGCAGACCUGCAGGUUGAACCUUAAAAGUGACGAAUGGAGCCUUGAAAUUAAAGAUGUUGGCUCUAGACUUGAAAAAAGACCCAUGAAAACCGUCAUCCGAAAACGGUACAGUGUCAGCCUCAGUUUGAGGCCGAAAAGGAAGCUCCGGAAGAAGACGCUGGCAGCAGUACCCCGCUGGCUGCCCUGGACCCAAGGCAGAAUUUCCCUUGUGUCUGCAGUGUGAGGCAGAACGGUUUUGCCUGGAGCAAGUGAAACGAUUCCUCUCCUGCUGUUACUAGUUAUCUCCCUGUGAUGCCAGACGGGAUCAGCACAGCCCCAGGAGCUAGUUGCUACUGCCUAUAAGAUACCCUCCCCCACCAAAGAGAAUCAUUUAAGGGUUUAGGAGUUGCUGUUGUGGCCCAGUGGGCUAAGAACCUGACAUAGUCUCUGUGAGGAUUCGAGUUUGAUCCCUGGCCUUGCUCAGCGGCUGGGCAUCAAGUGUUGCCCUCGUCUGUGGUGUAGGUUGUGGGUAAGGCUUGGGUCUGGCGUGCCUGUGGCUGUGGCGUGGGCUGGAGCCUCCAAUUCGACCCUUAGCCUGGGAGCUUCUGUGUGCUGUGGGUGCGACCCUAGACAGAACAUAAGAGUUACUUGAACUUCAUCUUUGGGAGUAGUCAGAGACAUUUUCUCUCGGAAGAUCUUGGGCAGUUAGUGAAAUUAGGUAGAACUAAGAACAUUCAGAACAACACGGUUUAGGUGUGUUGAGGUACAGCUCGCGGUGCUGGGACUGCAGCGGUGGUGAAGCUGGUGAAGCGAAGGGAUUGUGAGAUCAACGUGUUGGGGGGGGGGAGACUAAAGGGAAACAGGUGUUUAGCUGGAGAACGCGCUCCGUGGAUUUCCUAUCAAGUCAGUGGUCUUGGGUUUAACUUUCAAACAAAUAAAAAUUUUUAAAAAC